Molecule: ribosomal RNA, 253 nt
Filed under: uncultured bacterium
Lineage: Bacteria
Description: partial 16S ribosomal RNA
Rfam family: Bacterial small subunit ribosomal RNA
Source: RNAcentral
UACGUAGGGGGCUAGCGUUGUCCGGAAUCAUUGGGCGUAAAGAGCGCGUAGGCGGCUAGAUAAGUCCGGUGUGAAAGUCACAGGCUCAGCCUGUGAAUGCCGCUGGAAACUGUCUGGCUAGAGUCCGGAAGGGGCGAGUGGAAUUCCUGGUGUAGCGGUGAAAUGCGCAGAUAUCAGGAGGAACACCAAUGGCGAAGGCAGCUCGCUGGGACGGUACUGACGCUGAGGCGCGAAAGCGUGGGGAGCAAACAGG